Long non-coding RNA from Temnothorax curvispinosus, 686 nucleotides. RefSeq lists it as uncharacterized. The record is from RefSeq and is a predicted model, not a curated record. NCBI's taxonomy places the organism in Eukaryota, Metazoa, Arthropoda, Insecta, Hymenoptera, Formicidae. The transcript is spliced from 4 exons.
GUCAGCGGUAGAGGCGACAUGGAGGCACCUCAAAUUAAAUGUGGAUAUUGUGUAGUUGGCUCAUGGGCACAUCAAUGCCAAAAUAUAUUACAAUAUGAAUGUUUUAAAGAAUACGAUGAAAAUAAGUACAAGCAUUGACGAAAAUAAUGUAGCUACUAUUGUGAACAGAUUAGACGAAGAUGAACUAUAGGCCACCGUUAUACGAUCAUCGUUUAAAUGUUAAAGAAAGGAAAGCCACUGUGCCUGGUAGCUAACGGCGCAAAUUUCAAAGCAGCGAAAGAAUAAAAAAGAAUUGUGAUAAUAAUGAGUGGCGAAAAAUACGCAAAGUGGUCUGUGGAAAAAUUAAAAAAAGAGCUCCGUUCUCGGGGAGCAAAAGUAACGGGGAAAAAGAAGGAUUUACAAGAUCGGUAAAAUAGAUCGUCAAUAUAGGUUAUUAUAUCUAAUAUACUCUUUACCCAGCGAACCAAAUUGUCACAGAGUUAUUUCAGUUAAUGAAUGCGAACAAACAUUAUCGAUUGACAUACAGUCAUAAUAUUUUUAUUACAAUACUGAUUUUUCCCAUAUGUUAACAAUUGGUGUUUGAAACUCGCGCGGAAUACUACCAAUUUUGUUCUAACGUUUAUUUCUAAAGAGUUCUGACGAUAAGCAUUAUUUAUUCAUAUUUUAAAUAAUUUUUAUCGACCAAG